GCCGAUGUAGCUCAGCUGGUCAGAGCAGCUGAUUUGUAAUCAGCAGGUCGUGGGUUCGAAUCCCUCCAUCGGCU
This 74-nucleotide transfer RNA is filed under the name Alistipes sp. RNAcentral's name for it is "tRNA-Thr". It matches the Rfam family "tRNA". Rfam says of the family: Transfer RNA (tRNA) molecules are approximately 80 nucleotides in length. Their secondary structure includes four short double-helical elements and three loops (D, anti-codon, and T loops). Lineage: Bacteria; Pseudomonadati; Bacteroidota; Bacteroidia; Bacteroidales; Rikenellaceae. The record is from RNAcentral. RNAcentral also lists the same sequence under 4 other names.